GUGAGGAAUUUUCCGCAAUGGGCGAAAGCCUGACGGAGCAAUGCCGCGUGAAGGAUGAAUGCCUAUGGGUUGUAAACUUCUUUUCUCAGAAAAGAAUUAUGACGGUAUCUGAGGAAUAAGCAUCGGCUAACUCUGUGCCAGCAGCCGCGGUAAGACAGAGGAUGCAAGCGUUAUCCGGAAUGAUUGGGCGUAAAGCGUCUGUAGGUUGUUUAAAAAGUAUUCUGUCAAAGAUUAGGGCUUAACCCUAGAUAGGCAGAAUAAACUUUUAAGCUAGAGUUUGGUAGAGGCAGAGGGAAUUCCCGGUGGAGCGGUGAAAUGCGUAGAUAUCGGGAGGAACACCAAAGGCGAAGGCACUCUGCUGGGCCAAUACUAACACUGAGAGACGAAAGCGAGGGGAGCAAAUGGGAUUAGAAACCCUUGUAGUCC
Molecule: ribosomal RNA, 426 nt
Filed under: uncultured bacterium
Lineage: Bacteria
Description: bacterial SSU rRNA
Rfam family: Bacterial small subunit ribosomal RNA
Source: RNAcentral